GUGGGGAAUAUUGGACAAUGGGGGGAACCCUGAUCCAGCCAUGCCGCGUGUGUGAAGAAGGCCUUUUGGUUGUAAAGCACUUUAAGCGAGGAGGAGGCUACCGAGAUUAAUACUCUUGGAUAGUGGACGUUACUCGCAGAAUAAGCACCGGCUAACUCUGUGCCAGCAGCCGCGGUAAUACAGAGGGUGCAAGCGUUAAUCGGAUUUACUGGGCGUAAAGCGCGCGUAGGUGGCCAAUUAAGUCAAAUGUGAAAUCCCCGAGCUUAACUUGGGAAUUGCAUUCGAUACUGGGUGGCUAGAGUAUGGGAGAGGAUGGUAGAAUUCCAGGUGUAGCGGUGAAAUGCGUAGAGAUCUGGAGGAAUACCGAUGGCGAAGGCAGCCAUCUGGCCUAAUACUGACACUGAGGUGCGAAAGCAUGGGGAGCAAACAGGAUUAGAUACCCCUGUAGUCC
This 451-nucleotide ribosomal RNA is filed under the name uncultured bacterium. RNAcentral's name for it is "partial 16S ribosomal RNA". It matches the Rfam family "Bacterial small subunit ribosomal RNA", at positions 354 to 796 of the family's 1533-position model. The record is from RNAcentral.